RNAcentral lists this long non-coding RNA (526 nucleotides) under Anas platyrhynchos platyrhynchos (common mallard). RNAcentral describes it as "lncRNA (ENSAPLG00000020833.1)". Lineage: Eukaryota; Metazoa; Chordata; Aves; Anseriformes; Anatidae. The record is from RNAcentral.
UAAAAUCAGCAUCAUCUAUUGUGUAAGAAUAUCGUGGAAUAUAAAGAACUUGGGCGUGGUUAUCACCAUACCAAGGGGAAUUGGGCCAAGAUGACAAAAGAAGGGGAACAGUAAAGUCCAAAGCUCAGUUAGUCUGUGGAUGAGGCACACCUGCUUUUAUUUUAAAUGUAAACUAUAUGCUCAGUUUAUGAAAACCAAACAUCUGCUAUAGAGAUGUUAAAAUAUGCACCUUAAGAUAUCUGCUUCUGACACACCGCUAAGUACCUUAAGACCAUUUCAUUGCUUUGUUAAUGUGCACCGUAUUUUGAUAUGCUUGUAUCAUUAAGGAGGUCCUCAGAGACUGAACCAGACCAGUCAUGUAAAAGGUCAGUGAUGUAAAUAUCACAUUACUGAAAGACUUUCAGGGCUUUAUGAGGUAAAGUUAGCAGAAACAGGUAGUAUUUUUUAUUUUUAUGCUGAUAGAAUUUGCAAAAACACCCAGGCUUUCAAACACAUCAGCCUUUCUUGAGCUCUGAAGGAGGAACAG